AAGUAAUAUUCCAGAUUGUUAAUCUGAUUGCUAAGUAGCAAGAGAAGGAGAUUUCUUUGUCUGGAGUUUUGCACGACUAGUUUUAGGUGAUUAGUGGGUAUAGUUAUGCCUGACAAGCCUGACAUGCUUAGGAUUCCUGAGAGGGUCGCAUCCAACAGAAGUAUUGAGGUGUUCUUACUUCCCGCCAUUUUGUGGUGCUGCAGUGGUAAAAUCUAGACAAUUGGUGUAUGCCUGAUCUGGGC
Molecule: ribosomal RNA, 242 nt
Filed under: Percolomonas cosmopolitus
Lineage: Eukaryota; Heterolobosea; Eutetramitea; Percolomonadida; Percolomonadidae
Description: partial Bacterial small subunit ribosomal RNA
Source: RNAcentral